GCCGAAGUGGUGGAACUGGCAGACACGCUGUGUUCAGGGCGCAGUGCCCUUCUGGGCGUGCGGGUUCGACUCCCGCCUUCGGCACCA
RNAcentral lists this transfer RNA (87 nucleotides) under Candidatus Zixiibacteriota bacterium. RNAcentral's name for it is "tRNA-Leu". It matches the Rfam family "tRNA". Rfam says of the family: Transfer RNA (tRNA) molecules are approximately 80 nucleotides in length. Their secondary structure includes four short double-helical elements and three loops (D, anti-codon, and T loops). Further hydrogen bonds mediate the characteristic L-shaped molecular structure. tRNAs have two regions of fundamental functional importance: the anti-codon, which is responsible for specific mRNA codon recognition, and the 3' end, to which the tRNAs corresponding amino acid is attached (by aminoacyl-tRNA synthetases). tRNAs cope with the degeneracy of the genetic code in two manners: having more than one tRNA (with a specific anti-codon) for a particular amino acid; and 'wobble' base-pairing, i.e. permitting non-standard base-pairing at the 3rd anti-codon position. Lineage: Bacteria; Pseudomonadati; Candidatus Zixiibacteriota. The record is from RNAcentral.